AUGUCUUUACUCCACGAGCGAUCAAGCGAAUGCACCUUGAGUGAACUGGAUCUGUUCACAGCCCCCCUGACCCAAUUUUCAAUCGAGGACAAAUGUUAUUCAGAAAUAUUACCAGUAACAGCGCUGACUGAUCGGGGACCUGUGGAAUUUUACGUGCCUGGAAACGGGCUGCAUUACCUGGAUUUAAAUGACACAUUGCUGAGUUUAAGAUUGAAGAUAACAAACGCGGAUGGGUCUGAUAUUGAUCCAGAUGCUAAUGUUGCAAUUAUAAAUUACCCUUUAAAUACCAUUUUCUCGCAAUGUGACGUCACAUUGGGCGACAGACUGAUUUCACAAGCCAGCUCAACCCACCCCUACAGGGCUAUAAUAGAAACAUAUUUAAAUUACUCAGAAGAAAGUUUGAAGACCCAGUUUAGCGCUGGGAUGUUUUACAAAGAUACAGUGGGCUCACACGACUCGUAUAUUGUAAUCAACGGGCCUAACAGGGGAUUAGUUCGGCGGGCAGCUUACAGUCAGCGGUCGCGAGAGUUCCACGUCAUGGGCCCGUUACAUUCUGAUAUUUUUUUCUGCGAACGAUUAUUGCUCAAUAAUGUGGAUCUGAGGGUUAAGCUCAUGAGAGCCAACGAUGCUUUCAGCCUUAUGGCGCCUCAGAAUGCUAAUUACCACCUGAAUAUUCUAGGAGCUUCAUUGUAUGUGCGGAAAGUUACUGUGUCCCCAGCUGUACGUUUAGGCCACGCUUCCGCUCUCAUGCAAGCCAAUGCACUUUAUCCCAUCUCCCGGAUUAACGUAAAAACAUUUUCAAUACCUGAGAAUUCACGGAUAUCACAUCAUGAGAAUCUGUUUCUGGGUUCACUCCCCCGUUAUUUAGUCAUCGGAAUGGUCGAUCAUCAAGCAUUUACAGGCCGUUAUGAUUUAUGUCCUUUCAACUUUCAACAUAACGAUCUGGAGUUCCUGGCUUUAUGUCAUGAGAGUAAGCAGAUUCCAGCCAAAGCGUUUCAACCCAAUUUUGCUGAGAAUCACUCCGUAAGAGAGUUUUACAGCCUGUACACCGCUACUGGAAGAAACCUAAAGGAUCUCUCCUUAUGCAUUGACAGACAGGAGUUUGAACAAGGAUAUACACUGUUUGUUUUCAAUUUGAAUCCAUCAGAUGACAGUCAGGCCUUAUCACCUGUGAUAAAUGGAAAUUUGAGACUAGAAAUGCGCUUCAGAGUACCACUGCCUCAUACAACUACACUGAUCGUUUAUGCAUGUUAUGAUUCCAUUCUCGAGAUCAACUCCAAAAGACAAGUUUUGGUCGAUUAUUACUGA
Long non-coding RNA from Oreochromis niloticus (Nile tilapia), 1308 nucleotides. The record is from Ensembl. Lineage: Eukaryota; Metazoa; Chordata; Actinopteri; Cichliformes; Cichlidae.